This 494-nucleotide ribosomal RNA is filed under the name uncultured bacterium. RNAcentral's name for it is "partial 16S ribosomal RNA". It matches the Rfam family "Bacterial small subunit ribosomal RNA", at positions 28 to 506 of the family's 1533-position model. The record is from RNAcentral.
GAUGAACGCUGGCGGCGUGCUUAACACAUGCAAGUCGAACGAAGCACCUCUCCCGAAGAUUGACACAGCUUGCUGUAGAUUGAUUCAUUUGAGGUGACUGAGUGGCGGACGGGUGAGUAACGCGUGGGUAACCUGCCUCAUAGAGGGGGACAACAGUUGGAAACGACUGCUAAUACCGCAUAGUAAGAAGAAUUCGCAUGUUUUCUUCUUGAAAGAUUUAUCGCUAUGAGAUGGACCCGCGUCUGAUUAGCUAGUUGGUAAGGUAACGGCUUACCAAGGCGACGAUCAGUAGCCGGCUUGAGAGAGUGAACGGCCACAUUGGGACUGAGACACGGCCCAAACUCCUACGGGAGGCAGCAGUGGGGAAUAUUGCACAAUGGGGGAAACCCUGAUGCAGCGACGCCGCGUGAGUGAAGAAGUAUUUCGGUAUGUAAAGCUCUAUCAGCAGGGAAGAUAAUGACGGUACCUGACUAAGAAGCCCCGGCUAACUACGU